UCCUAGGCUUAAAUAAAGAGCCGGUACUACAAACACAUGUUUAAAACCGAAUGCACUUGGCGGUGCUCUAACCUAUUAGGGGAACCUGUUACUUAAUCCGAUGAUCCACGUCUUUUUUACUUUAUCUAGCAAACAACAGCCUGUGUAUUGCCGUCGCCAGCCAAAAUAGCGAUAUUAGAGCAAAUUAUGUUUUCCACUUCAAGUCAGGUCGAAAUACAGCCCAUGAUAAAGGGUAAAUGGGUUACAAUUCCUAAUAGUAGUGAAAUAAUUAAUAAAAAAAAUUACGAAAAAGGACUUAAAAGUAAGAUUAAAUACGUAAUUAAUCUGAAUUGAGCUCUGGAGCGUGU
RNAcentral lists this ribosomal RNA (347 nucleotides) under Polydora triglanda. Its description in RNAcentral is "partial 12S ribosomal RNA". The record is from RNAcentral. Lineage: Eukaryota; Metazoa; Annelida; Polychaeta; Spionida; Spionidae.